RNAcentral lists this unclassified non-coding RNA (402 nucleotides) under uncultured Glomus. RNAcentral's name for it is "bacterial SSU rRNA". It matches the Rfam family "Eukaryotic small subunit ribosomal RNA", at positions 569 to 972 of the family's 1831-position model. The record is from RNAcentral. Lineage: Eukaryota; Fungi; Glomeromycota; Glomeromycetes; Glomerales; Glomeraceae.
AGCAGCCGCGGUAAUUCCAGCUCCAAUAGCGUAUAUUAAAGUUGUUGCAGUUAAAAGCUCGUAGUUGAAUUUCGGGAUCAAUUUGCUGGUCGGAACCUCUGGUACGUACUGGUAUUAUUGAUUUCUUUCAUUCUGAUAGAUCAUGGAUGUCAUUAAUUUGAUGACUUUGAGGAAUCGGAACUUUUACUUUGAAAAAUUGAGUGUUUAAAGCAGGCUUAUCAGGCUUGAAUACAUUAGCAUGGAAUAAUGAAAUAGGACGAUUGAUCCUAUUUUGUUGGUUUCUAGGAUUGACGUAAUGAUUAAUAGGGAUAGUUGGGGGCAUUAGUAUUCAAUUGUCAGAGGUGAAAUUCUUGGAUUUAUUGAAGACUAACUACUGCGAAAGCAUUGCCAAGGAUGUUUUCA